RNAcentral lists this ribosomal RNA (694 nucleotides) under uncultured Bacteroidales bacterium. RNAcentral's name for it is "bacterial SSU rRNA". It matches the Rfam family "Bacterial small subunit ribosomal RNA", at positions 32 to 715 of the family's 1533-position model. Lineage: Bacteria; Pseudomonadati; Bacteroidota; Bacteroidia; Bacteroidales. The record is from RNAcentral.
AACGCUAGCUACAGGCUUAACACAUGCAAGUCCUUGGAAAGCAUGAACUUAGCUUGCUAAGUUUGAUGGCGACCGGCGCACGGGUGAGUAACACGUAUCCAACCUUCCCUUUACUCAGGGAUAGCCUUUCGAAAGAAAGAUUAAUACCUGAUAGUAUGGUGAGAUUGCAUGAUAGCACCAUUAAAGAUUUAUUGGUAAACGAUGGGGAUGCGUUCCAUUAGGUAGUAGGCGGGGUAACGGCCCACCUAGCCAACGAUGGAUAGGGGUUCUGAGAGGAAGGUCCCCCACAUUGGAACUGAGACACGGUCCAAACCCCUACGGGAGGCAGCAGUGAGGAUUUUUGGUCAAUGGGCGAGAGCCUGAACCAGCCAAGUAGCGUGAAGGAUGAAGGUCCUACGGAUUGCCCACUUCUUUUAUACGGGAAUAAAGUAUCCUACGUGUAGGAUUUUGUAUGUACCGUAUGAAUAAGCAUCGGCUAACUCCGUGCCAGCAGCCGCGGUAAUACGGAGGAUGCGAGCGUUAUCCGGAUUUAUUGGGUUUAAAGGGAGCGCAGACGGGAGAUUAAGUCAGUUGUGAAAGUUUGCGGCUCAACCGUAAAAUUGCAGUUGAUACUGGUUUCCUUGAGUGCAGUUGAGGCAGGCGGAAUUCGUGGUGUAGCGGUGAAAUGCUUAGAUAUCACGAAGAACUCCGAUUG